This is a long non-coding RNA of Anoplophora glabripennis (Asian longhorned beetle), 425 nucleotides long. RefSeq lists it as uncharacterized. Lineage: Eukaryota; Metazoa; Arthropoda; Insecta; Coleoptera; Cerambycidae. The record is from RefSeq and is a predicted model, not a curated record. The transcript has 3 exons.
ACUUGACUUAAUUUAAGUCGAUCAAUAAUCACGGAAGAAGAAGGAGACAAUAUGGCGAGAUGUCAAAUUUGAAAUAAAAUAAACAAACAAGAAUCAAUGCCCAGUGGACUACAUGAAUUUUAAAUUUAAGAAGCCUGUAAGAGAUACACUUUAAGGGUCCCAGCAUUUUUGCGUUUCGAGAUGCCACUUGCCGCCUACAAAAACUCCAAGGAACGAUAAACACUCCUGUCUACCGUUAUAAAAAGCUAGGAAUGCAAAGGGAAUCUCUUCAAGGAAAACCCAUUUGGUGGACUAUACGAAUAUCCUUUUCCUUUUAACAUAAAAGAUCAAAUCUUAUCUAUACAGUGUGAUGUUAAUUUUAGAAUGAAAAUACAAAUUUUGAAUGGAUAGAGAUGUUUAAAGAAAUAGGAAAUAAAACCUUAUAA